Molecule: long non-coding RNA, 665 nt
Filed under: Zonotrichia albicollis (white-throated sparrow)
Lineage: Eukaryota; Metazoa; Chordata; Aves; Passeriformes; Passerellidae
Description: lncRNA (ENSZALG00000017123.1)
Source: RNAcentral
CUGACUUUUGUCUUUGAAGUGUUUGUGUGCUGGUGUGACACUCGACCCUGAUUGUUAGAAGGCACUGUCUUGUUCUGCAGCAGUGACUGAGCAUUCUUGGUAGCAGUAGCUCAGAUUGCUGCCAGACAAGGGAGCUGAUGGACAUAAAACCUGCUGCUGCUGCUGAAUUUAUACACAGGAAGAUUCUACGUGUUCAGCCUGCAUCCUGAUGGAGGAGAUCUUGUUCAUCUGUUGAUUUACAGACAGCAGAAGGCACCACUAAUGGAAGUAUUUUAGUUUCCACUCCAAAAGAUGGGAUAUUGCAGCACACAUGGAACUGAAUUUCCUCUUCCUCUCUGCAGUUUUCCUGUGGAGAAUGAAAAUGACUGUUCCAGCCAAGGCUGGGAAGAUUUUCCCUGGGCUAACAAUGAGCAGAGAACUGAAGUGCUGGAAUUCUUUCCUUGAUGUCAGUUUAACUGACUCAGUGGCAUAAAACAAAAUUAGUAACGGUUCAAGUGCGUAAUCUUUCCUCUGGUUAGAACUUCCCUGACAAAUACUUAUUAUUUGGCUAACAAGGGGUAAUUAAGCUUCUGCAAAGAGGACCAAGAGAAAAGUGAUUGACCCCUCCAGGCUGAGCCUCAGCAGGGUCUAACUAAAGCUCCUUCCUGAGACUGAGUCACUCCGUG